CUUGAGUGCAGAAGAGGGUAGUGGAACUCCAUGUGUAGCGGUGGAAUGCGUAGAUAUAUGGAAGAACACCAGUGGCGAAGGCGGCUACCUGGUCUGCAACUGACGCUGAGACUCGAAAGCAUGGGUAGCGAACAGGAUUAGAUACCCUGGUAGUCCAUGCCGUAAACGAUGAUUGCUAGGUGUUGGAGGGUUUCCGCCCUUCAGUGCCGGAGCUAACGCAUUAAGCAAUCCGCCUGGGGAGUACGACCGCAAGGUUGAAACUCAAAGGAAUUGACGGGGGCCCGCACAAGCGGUGGAGCAUGUGGUUUAAUUCGAAGCUACGCGAAGAACCUUACCAGGUCUUGACAUCUUGCGCCAACCCUAGAGAUAGG
This 371-nucleotide ribosomal RNA is filed under the name Limosilactobacillus fermentum. Its description in RNAcentral is "bacterial SSU rRNA". It matches the Rfam family "Bacterial small subunit ribosomal RNA", at positions 641 to 1010 of the family's 1533-position model. Lineage: Bacteria; Bacillati; Bacillota; Bacilli; Lactobacillales; Lactobacillaceae. The record is from RNAcentral.